Molecule: long non-coding RNA, 7524 nt
Organism: Grus americana (Whooping crane)
Lineage: Eukaryota; Metazoa; Chordata; Aves; Gruiformes; Gruidae
Exons: 2
Source: RefSeq, a predicted model, not a curated record
UCAGCCUCGAGAAGAGAAGGCUCCAGGGAGACUUUAUAGCAGCCUUCCAGUACCUAAAGGGGGCCUACAAGAAAACUGGAGAGGGACUGUUUAUCAGGGAGUGUAGUGAUAGGACAAGGGGUAAUGGGUGUAAAAUGAAGGAGGGUAACUUUAGAUUAGACAUUAGGAAGAAAUUCUUCACUGUGAGGGUGGUGAGGCCCUGGAACAGGUUGCCCAGAGAGGUUGUGGAUGCCCCAUCCCUGGAAGUGUUCAAGGCCAGGUUGGAUGGGGCUUUGGGCAACCUGGGCUAGCAGAGGGUGUCCCUGCCCAUGGCAGGGGGGUUGGACUAAAUGAGGACUAGAUGAUCUUUAAUGUUCCCUUCCAACCCAAGCUAUCCUAUGAUUCUAUGUGAAACUCCUCACUGAAGCAGUUGCGAUCCCAGCUGUAAGGCUGCCUGGUAAGAUGCACAGUGCAGCCAAAAAGUCUGAAUUACCAUGGGCUAUGUUAACUUUAAUUUAGUGCACAAGGAGGCUACUUUCAAUCAAAAGUACAAGCAGAUUCUUCCAAAACAGAAGAGAGAAGUGUAUACAAGAUCCAGUCUUAUCGUUGUCAGUCCCUGGAACAGCAGCAAAGUACAGGGAACGUUGUUAAAUGGGUAAGACAGGUAUUUAGGUGAAAGCUCAGCGUAUCAUCUCUCCAGGAGCAUUACCAAGAGCAAAAUUUAGGACGUGUCCAGUUUCAUGGUCGAAAGCAACAUUAAACGGAGCCCCGUUAACAACGUGUGGUGUCACUCCAGACCGAUCGGGAACCGCCCUCAGUCCCUGCAGCCGUAAAGACAGGCGGGAUCUCCACAGAAAGCAACUGCACCCACACAAGCCAGGCCUCAGACCCGCCGCCGCCGUGGGCUGCGUUGGGCGCAGCGGGAGGCGUGGUCAGGCCCCGGGCCCCGCCCCUCACCAGCGCCCGGGCUCCGGCUCCUCCAGGCAGCGCCAGCAGCUCCAGCGUCUGCGGGGCCAGGCGGGGGCCCCAGGGCCGCGAGCCGGCAGCCCCCGCCGGCGGGGCGCUCAUGGCGGGCCGGGCCCGCCCUCCGCCGCGGCCGCUGCGGGACGCGGUCCGCGGAACCAUGGCAACCGGCCCCGCCCACAGCCCUGUACGCAGCGCCGGUCGGGGCAGUGAAGAUGCGUCACUUCCGCGGGCGGCAGGACGUGGUGUAUGACGCUGAGUUUGGCGCCGCAGUUGGGGUUGGGUCCGUCGGUGGCUCUGCGGCUUCCCCGGCCGCGCCGUCCUCUCGCUGAGGCAUCGCCUCAUCCCGCCGGCCCCUGCCUGCCCGCUGGACGGGCGCACCGCCAGCCCCGCCACCGGCCCUCGCCCCGCCACGGCCCACAUCGAUGCUGCUGUCCUCAGCAGUUGCUGAGCGGGCCGCCCGCCCGCCUCGGGCAAACCGCGAUGGCCGGUUCACCCUCGAAAACCUCCACAAAUAAUCUCACUCCCUUCUAGAUAUUUUUCUCAUUUACCUACUUCAGUCACCUCUUCCCCACCUUCAGCCAACAUCCUUACCGUUAGGAGCAUCUGGCUAACUUGAGACUUCCUGGUUAAGCAAAAAAUGCUGUUAAGUUGAAAAUGUAAAUGGUUAGGUCCUCACUGAAGACUAACUAUCUGAGGAGAGUUCAUGCACUCCAGGAGCAUUGCUGUUUCACUGGCCGGGGCUCCUCUCUGUGCAGGGAACGCUGUGGCACCACAAGUGAGAGACUGGGCUGCUGCAUCAGCACCGCUCCUUCUCGCCAUGGCUUUCCACUCAGCUUGGAUGAACUUGACCUCUAAGGAACUGAUGGUUACAGUUGCACAUAACAUCUUUUUAAAACAAGGUACCCUUUUAUUGCUUAACUAAAGCACAGUAUUUAAGGUCCAUUAUGGUGCCGCAGUUGGAACAACAAAGCUGUGGCUUUUGUGAUGUGCCUGUUCCUCUCUUUGGCCUGGAAAUGUUCCAUUUCAGUGAUGGGAUGGAACUGGCAAUGCACAAUAAAGCUCCUCUCCCCUUCCAGCUACCUCAGGUUUUUGCUUCAGAUUCUAAUUGUGAACAUUUUACACAUUCAGUCUCCUUUGACUGAAGUCAUCAAGAGUUAAUGUCGGCUCAUUAAUUUCUGAGUCUCCAAGGUAACCAUGUUCAUGUGCUAACAGUUCUUGAGAGAGUUUUUCUUGCAACCUAAAAUCUCUUAGUCCUGUAUUUCGGAGAAACAAUUUUCUAAGUUAGAGUGGGUCACAAUACAAGUAUGACGAUUAAAACCAUACACAUUUCCUAUUUUUCCUCAUUAUCUGAGCCAUGUUUGUUGACCUGAGAGAAAUACAAUAUAUCUAUUUUAUUCUCACUGGCUUUGUUGGAAAAAGUGAACGGAUCUUCAGGCAUAUCGAUCCUUCUGCAAAUCUGAUAAAGCAGGGCAAACUUCAUAAGAGAGAGUUGCUCUUUGUUUAAAUGAAUUGUACUAAUUCCUUGGACAAUUUGGAAGAAAAAAGUGCAGCAUUUUAGGAAGAGAGCUGCAUUUGUAGGUGGGAGAGAAUGACAGAUCAUAAACCCCCAGGAAACAGAGAUAAAUGGGACAAAGAAGUGGGAGAGAUUUGAUGGCACAUUAAGAUCAAAAUUUUUACCAAGCUAUUGCUCUACUGGUAUCAUUAAACCAUAAUGGUCUUCACAUUCAUAGGCCAUCCUUAUUUCACCAUGCUACUACGAGUAUUUUGUUACCAGAAUCCUUUCGUAAAAUUAUUUGCAAUUAUGUCAUAUCUGAAAGCCAAGGCUGUGAGUCAAGACUAAAUUUAUUCAUUGCCAGUUUGUAUCCACUUCUUUUUUGGCCAACACUGUCCUUUAACUUAACGAGCUCUUCUCACUUUCUAGUAUUUAAUCUGUGAUUUAUUUAUAGAGAUCCCUUCUCAACUUUCAUUAGAUAACGCAAGCCAAGAACAGUUAGUCUCCUCUCGUUAGACAGUCGCCAGUGCCCUGAUCAUUUUAAUUCCUCUGUGCUCACAUUCCAGUCAAAAUUCAACCUCCUUAAGCUGUGUUGACCAGAAAUGUGUACGGUGUUCCAGAGGAAGUCUCACAAGUCCUUUCUACAGGAAAUACUUAUUUCGGAUAUGUUCUCACCUGCUGUGUUCCAGGAUCCUGUUUGUCCUUUUGAAAGCUACAUCACAUCAGAAACUACAGUGGUUCUGCAGUUGAAAAGCAUGUGUGGGGCUUUCUCCUGUCCUGGUGGUUUCCCACAGAUGAGAUUCUGCUAGUAACAGAAAUACUGACCUGCCACCAGGCGGAUGAUCUUUCAUUUGCACUGUUGAAUUUCAUUUAAUCACAUAAGCAAUUACAUCUCUAUAGUCUGCAAAAGUUUCCCAUAUGAUGUUUCAAAAAUCUUUAUUGUAAAAAUGCUGCUCAGCUCUGAGUCAUUAGUCAAAGUUAAUAGCACACUAAGUGCCAGUGUAAUUAAUGAAAAUAUUAAAGCCAGUUCCAAGACAGAUCUUUGAAGAACUCCACUGGCAAGUUUCUUUCAGUGUAACAGCUCCUUUGAAUUAUCUUCAGUUGUCUCUCCCCUAGCCAGGCCCAUCGCCACCUUUUAUUUCUUGUUCUAAUCCCAUCUUCAUUGGUUUGGUAAUGCCUCCUACUAUGCAGUAUUGGAAACUUUAUUUAGAUACAGCAAGAUUAGAUAUACUAAAUUUCCUGUAGUAACUUUAUAUCAAAUUCAGACAGACAUCCACAAAAACCUCUGUUCAGUUGAGGGGGCCCAGGUCUGAUAUAGUAACCUGAUUAUAUUUGGGAUUCUUUCUCCGAAUUGCUAAUUGCUAACGAUUAAUUUUCAUAAAAUCGUGCUGGCAUGUAAAUCACAACUUGAAGAAUGUUUAUAUUUGCGUGUGUGGAUAAUGUAACUCUUACAACUAGUGCUUCUUUAUAACAAUUUUAAUGUCUCAAUUACACUUGAAUAAGUACUGAAACUCUGAAAUUGCUACAAUACUAUUUUAAAAUGUCUGUAGCUACUCACUCAAAGCAUCAGGAACACUACUUCGUAUUUCAGGCUAACCAAAUCGAGUUAGAAUUCCGUUCUGAUUGGAGUUACUGGUAUAAAUCCACUAACUGGAGUGUAGCUGUUCCUGACUUCUUCCAGUGAAAAUUACUUCAGGUUUGUGCUUAUUGUUAUAAAUGCUCUUCUAAAUUAUCUCUUGCUAUAUUAGAACUUUGAAAAUGUCAAAUCUGAAAAAUAAUUCCAUAUUGUACAUUUAGGUAUGGAAAACUAGGUUAGGAAAGGUUUAAUUAUUUACACAGAGUAGGAGGACAUCAGUCAGGAUGAAUUGCUGUCAUCCCUCCUCUUUAAUGGCUCUACCUGUGUUAUUUUUUCUCGUUAGACAGUGGAGUUAAAUAGCUGUGAUCCAACCUUGCCGUAACAGUUAGCUCUGUGCUAUACGGAUGGAAACAGAGCAGGUUUUUAAUUGUGAUGAAGUAAGUUCUCUCCCUACGUUUCAUCAGGGCUGGGACAAGACUUGCUGAGCUGGUUAUGUAGCACGUAACCACAGCCCUUUCCCACAGGAAGGACUCGGCAGUGGAACAACAAAGCUGGUUAAUGUAAUUACAUGCUAUUCCAUGACUCUCAAAACAUGAACGGGAAGUGUGGUUUUCUGUGACACUCGCCUCUCUGUGUGAAGUGGUGAUUCCUCCUUUUGCUGCUUGCUGAUGGCAGAAAGGUGGGGAAAGGUGUGCGUUGCAAGGUUGCGGAGGAUAGAGGGGAUGACACUUCCCAUUCAAUCAGUCUGUUUCCAAAGCCUUUCCGUUGCAAGGCCACACAUGGAAGUGCUGGCUACUUGCUACCUCCUCGGAGUAUGUUUUCUCUUCAAGAGUAGGCAGUAUUGCACCUUCUUUUCUACCACAGUUAUUUCAUGCUACAGUUUUUAUCAAGAUUAAUCUAUUAAUAAUAUUUCCUGUAAUUGUGAGUGGCAAUUUCCUGCUUCUGGUAUUUUUGUAUUGCCCACUUCCCCUACUUCCUUCAAGCUCUGUCCUUGUCAGAACUCUGCUCUGCUCUUGGUAUUAGCCAAAAUACCCACUUUCCUCAACCCUAAAUUUGCCAUUAACUAACAUGAAAGGAAGAGAAGGUGACUAUUUAAUUUCCUAUAACUGAUAACAAACUAUAGACAGUGCAAACACUUUUAUAUCUUGUAAGGUUUAUUAAAAUAGAGAUGAUAACCCUUUCUAAAUGUCAAAUACAUUAUAAAGCUUGUUUACAUCACAUUAUUACAACUAGUGGUUUCUUUUUUUUCAGAGGAAACAGCAUUGUAGAUCCCUUUUUUUCUGGUAGCAUCUCAAAGCUCUAUGCAAAAUGACCCCCACAAAUGCCAUCUACACUUCUGAGUAGAAAUGAGAGACUUGACCUGCGUCAUCGCUCGCAUAUAGAGGCUCACUUACCAAGUGGGAUACCACCUGAGACCUUGAGAUAUGAGCAAAUAUCUAUAUUUAUCACCAACAGCCCUUUUUCCACAAACUCUUGCCACAUGAUGUCAUACUCUGGGUUCCAUCUCUAAUGACUAGGGCACCCAUACAGUGAGUAAGAUUUUAAUAAGAUCUUAACAUGACAGUAUAGCAGAAGUUGAACAACAAAUUGUGAGGCAAAGCUCUCCAAGACACAGCCCUGGUUUUAUGCAGUGUAUUCACACCUCAGAAGUCAGUGUGGAUACACUUUUUCUCCUUUUUAUGUUGGUGGUACAUUUAGGGUUGGACGAAGUAGGUAGUCUAGUUAAUACCUACACUUAAGUCAUCACAAAGCAGUUGGCAUCAGGAGAAGCAAAAAGAGACUGGGAGUGGGAAAGAGCAGAACUGGUUCUUUCAGCAGUGCUGUUGGCUUGUGACAUCUGUACAGGUUCAUUAACUAUACCCCAAAUAAGUUACCUGUAACUUGGUAAUUUUAUGAAAGGAAUGGUAUGAUAUGAUCACCUGCAGGCAACAGAGGAUAAACCUGAUGAUUCAGGAAGUUCCUUCUAGUUCCAGCUUAUAUGUAUUUCUUCCCUAUAUUGGAAGAGCCUUGAUAUAUAUAUUUCUAUUUUCUAUUAAUUUUUAAAUUUUGUCCUUGAUAUACCACUUCAAAUUAUUAAUAAAAAGUAAACAUUCCAUUUUCCAAUUAUGUACAAAGAGCUAUUAAUUCAUUACAUACUUCAGCCAGAAAUAGCUUAGGUUGAAGGGCUGUUAUGUUGGCAUAAAAAAAAAAAAGCAGUGGAAAUGCUUAUUCGGUGUCAUUCAAUACACCAUUUAAGCUAACUUCUCCCUUCUUCACUAACAAAUGUUCCUGGUGAUGUAAUUAAUUUGUUCCGUCUAUGUCAAUCAUGUAUCUACUACACAUUAAAGUUAAAAGUAGUUCCACUCUCAGGCAUCUAGUUUUACGUCAGUGAAUACCACUGUUGUUCCACAGCUGUUUUUGUGAUCAUGGUUUGCCUUCUAAACAAUCUGAACAAUUCCUGGAAUGUGCAGCAUAACCAGUGAUAACAGUCACGUCAGGAGAAACUUUAACCACAGGAGAUGUUUACGCUUUAUUACUACAGAGACUGUUUCAAGAUCUAUUUUGUAUUAGCAAAGGACUGUACAUUACCCUAUAAUGAGUGAACCAGAAGCCCAGGAACAUUACUUUACGGAAGACGGUGAAAGGCAUCUCCAUACUGUGUUCUCCUUGCUUUCCAGCCCCCUCUAGUGCCUGUGAGGCCACAACACGCAGGCAAAAGUGACAGAAGUGGCAAAUGCAGGAAUAUUCUGGAAGCAAUCAAUCAGUGUGUUGUGUUGUAUGCAGGCCGCACCAAAGCAAAGUUUAGUUUUUCCUUGAAAUCGACAGCAGCUCUAUAUGCAGCUCAGAGCAACAGCGAAAACCCACCUUCUGGUAGCGAAAGGCACUAAAGGCACAACUGCCCCUGGCUUUUGUAGACACCCUUGCACUGACGACAUUCAAAUUCUUCCUUGAAAUUUCUUUUUCACAAGAAUUGUAUUCAUAGCACUUGAACAUUCCUCUCUGGAACAAUCCAUGGUUUAUGGCAUUAUUGUUAAAAUCAGAUGUCAGACAACUAAGAACAUGACCUUUUAGGUAAGUGCUGAUUUCUGGUAACUGCUAGUAUGAAAGCUGAAAACUAGCCAUGAAAUGCUUGUGCUGCAGUGGUUCAGUGGGAUUUUUGUCAGUGAUCAUCCAGAGAGACUGCAUCCCCCCAGGCCAAGUACGUGUGACUUAACUCUGGGUGCUCAGUUAUGGAAAAUGUUGGUUAUGUUACACUGUCAGUAUUUAAUAACAACAUAGGUAAAACACACCAAGGUGAGGUUCUCUUUCCAUUUACUUCACAUGGGAGGUAAUAAAUGUUAGUAGUAGCAUCCUAUUAACACUAAGACGGUGGCAUAAAUGUUUGUUCUGUCUCUCAGUUACCUAGUAACAGAUUUUGAUUGUAUUUUAACCUUGUUAGCAAGCUUUCUAUGUGCAUUUUAACUGAAAAUAUAGGAAAGACAUUGUUUAUAAAUGAAAAGAGAAUAAAAGAACAAUCUGUCUGCUACCAUUA